GACGAACGCUAGCGGCGUGCUUUACACAUGCAAGUCGAACGAGUGGCGGACGGGUGAGUAAUAUAUCGGAACGUUCCCAGUAGCGGGGGACAACUACUCGAAACAGCGGCUACCUCCGCACACUAUUGGCGCGGCCGAUGUCGGAUUUGCUAGUUGGGGGGGUAAAGGCUCACUAAGGCAACGAACCGUACCUGGUUUGAGAGGACGACCGGCCACACUGGGACUGAGACACGGCCCAGACUCCUACGGGAGGCAGCAGUGGGGAAUUGUGGACAAUGGGGGAAACCCUGAUCCAGCCAUGCCGCGUGUGUGAGAAGGCCUUCGGGUUGUAAAGUACUUUUGGCAGAGAAGCGGUAUCUGAACAGAAAGCCACGGCUAACUACGUGCCAGCAGCCGCGGUAAUUC
Molecule: ribosomal RNA, 405 nt
Filed under: uncultured bacterium
Lineage: Bacteria
Description: partial 16S ribosomal RNA
Rfam family: Bacterial small subunit ribosomal RNA
Source: RNAcentral